GGGCACAGGAUGGGGAGGGGAAGAAAAAGAGGGCUCCACGGGAGCAGACAGAAUUACCUCCUGGAUAGCACUUAGGAAAUCAUCUAAUCCAACCCCUUGCAUUACAUUUGAGGAAACUGAGGCACAGAGAGGAGAUGGGUCUCCAUGGUGGUAGAGAUAACCCACCGUGUGAAGAGGCUCCUUUUUCCAUCCUUUUUCCUAGGGGUGGACUGAAAGAGAAAAGAUCAUUUUCAGGUGCAUACACAUUACGUACCCCACCUCUGACUCAAAACCCCUUACGGACAACCCUAGGCUGGUCCCUCGCAGUGGUUCAUGCCAUAAAGAUUAAUAAGUCCAGUAACUCCGGGGUAAAGACCUCUCCUUGGCGCUGGAGUGCCGGUGAGCUGAGCCAGGCUGCCUGGCUCUCGGGAGCCCCUCUGGCUUAUCCGGGGGACAAGGCCAAACACAUUCACGCACAAACAGUAUGUGGCAAACGUGGAAAGGCACUGAAGGAAACAAACCAGGAAUUCUAAGAGCUUCCAGCAGGGCCUCCCCUGCCUGGGGUGGAGGUGCAGAGGGCUCGCUCACGGACUUGCAGAGGAUGGAUGGGUACUAAG
Molecule: long non-coding RNA, 596 nt
Filed under: Equus caballus (horse)
Lineage: Eukaryota; Metazoa; Chordata; Mammalia; Perissodactyla; Equidae
Description: lncRNA (ENSECAG00000054431.1)
Source: RNAcentral